RNAcentral lists this ribosomal RNA (549 nucleotides) under Nitzschia cf. ovalis. Its description in RNAcentral is "partial 28S ribosomal RNA". It matches the Rfam family "Eukaryotic large subunit ribosomal RNA", at positions 36 to 656 of the family's 3401-position model. The record is from RNAcentral. Lineage: Eukaryota; Bacillariophyta; Bacillariophyceae; Bacillariales; Bacillariaceae.
AAGCAUAUAAAUAAGCGGAGGAAAAGAAACUAACCAGGAUUCCCUCAGUAAGGGCGACUGAAGCGGGAAUAGCUCAGGAUGUGAAUCUGCACCUUUGGGUGCCGAAUUGUGGUCUGUAGACCGUGACGUUAUCCGCCGGGCCAAGUCCCUUGGAAAAGGGCAGCAGAGAGGGUGAGACUCCCGUCCGCCUGGUGGAGCGAGUUGCGUGUCGACGAGUCGAGUUGUUUGGGAUUGCAGCUCAAAUUGGGUGGUAAAUUCCAUCUAAGGCUAAAUAUUGGUGGGAGACCGAUAGCGUACAAGUACCGUGAGGGAAAGAUGCAAAGAACUUUGAAAAGAGAGUUAAAAAGUACCUGAAAUUGCUGAAAGGGAAGCGAAGGAAACCAGUGUCGUGCUUGGCCAUACUUCCCUGUCCACCUGUGGACUGGGCGCUGUGACCGGCUUGGGUUUGCCUUGGUUGUGCCGUUUGGAAGAGCGCCUACAGAGUUGAUGUGGGUUGCUAGCGUUCGGCCUGACUGAGGCAGACGAAAUGGUUUUCUUUACCCCGUCUUG